This 254-nucleotide ribosomal RNA is filed under the name uncultured bacterium. RNAcentral describes it as "partial 16S ribosomal RNA". It matches the Rfam family "Bacterial small subunit ribosomal RNA", at positions 524 to 776 of the family's 1533-position model. The record is from RNAcentral.
UACGUAGGGGGCAAGCGUUGUCCGGAUUCAUUGGGCGUAAAGAGCUCGUAGGCGGCUUGGCAAGUCGGGUGUGAAAACUUCAGGCUCAACCUGGAGCGGCCACUCGAUACUGCCAUGGCUAGAGUCCGGUAGGGGACCACGGAAUUCCUGGUGUAGCGGUGAAAUGCGCAGAUAUCAGGAGGAACACCGGUGGCGAAGGCGGUGGUCUGGGCCGAAACUGACGCUGAGGAGCGAAAGCGUGGGUAGCAAACAGG